RNAcentral lists this ribosomal RNA (253 nucleotides) under uncultured bacterium. RNAcentral's name for it is "partial 16S ribosomal RNA". It matches the Rfam family "Bacterial small subunit ribosomal RNA", at positions 524 to 776 of the family's 1533-position model. The record is from RNAcentral.
UACGGAGGGUCCAAGCGUUAUCCGGAAUCAUUGGGUUUAAAGGGUCCGUAGGCGGUUUUGUAAGUCAGUGGUGAAAGCCCAUCGCUCAACGGUGGAACGGCCAUUGAUACUGCAAGACUUGAAUUAUUAGGAAGUAACUAGAAUAUGUAGUGUAGCGGUGAAAUGCUUAGAGAUUACAUGGAAUACCAAUUGCGAAGGCAGGUUACUACUAAUGGAUUGACGCUGAUGGACGAAUGCGUGGGGAGCGAACAGG